GCAUUUUAAAGGCUGCCCUAUAUUAUCUGUACGCAGGUAGCAUAAUAAUUAGUUUAUUAAUUGUAAACUUGUAUGAAUGGUUUAAUGAGAAAAUAACUUUCUUUAAGUAUUUAUUAGGAAUUUACAUUUUUUGUUAAAAUGCAAAAAUUUAUUUAUUAGACGAGAAGACCCUAUAAAACUUAAUAUUAAGUUUUAUACAUGUAUAAAACUUAAUAUUAGAUUGGGGAGAUUAAUAAAUUAAAAUAACUUUCAUUUUAGUUAUAUCAUAAAUUAAUGUUUUGUUGAAUUAAUAUAUUAGUUAUAAGAUUAAGUUACUUUAGGGAUAACAGCGUUAUUUAGUUGGAGAGUUCUUAUUGAUAACU
Molecule: ribosomal RNA, 362 nt
Filed under: Nannocoris sp. Guat 6270
Lineage: Eukaryota; Metazoa; Arthropoda; Insecta; Hemiptera; Schizopteridae
Description: partial 16S ribosomal RNA
Source: RNAcentral